GAUGAACGCUGGCGGCGUGCCUAAUACAUGCAAGUCGAGCGAACGGACGAGAAGCUUGCUUCUCUGAUGUUAGCGGCGGACGGGUGAGUAACACGUGGAUAACCUACCUAUAAGACUGGGAUAACUUCGGGAAACCGUAGCUAAUACCGGAUAAUAUUUUGAACCGCAUGGUUCAAAAGUGAAAGACGGUCUUGCUGUCACUUAUAGAUGGAUCCGCGCUGCAUUAGCUAGUUGGUAAGGUAACGGCUUACCAAGGCAACGAUGCAUAGCCGACCUGAGAGGGUGAUCGGCCACACUGGAACUGAGACACGGUCCAGACUCCUACGGGAGGCAGCAGUAGGGAAUAUUCCGCAAUGGGCGAAAGCCUGACGGAGCAACGCCGCGUGAGUGAUGAAGGUCUUCGGAUCGUAAAACUCUGUUAUUAGGGAAGAACAUAUGUGUAAGUAACUGUGCACAUCUUGACGGUGCCUAAUCAGAAAGCCACGGCUAACUACGUG
Molecule: ribosomal RNA, 497 nt
Filed under: uncultured bacterium
Lineage: Bacteria
Description: partial 16S ribosomal RNA
Rfam family: Bacterial small subunit ribosomal RNA
Source: RNAcentral